AUGGCAGUAUGCCACAGACAUAAGAUCAAUACAAAAGCCCCCAGUUCUGGUCAAAGACUUGGUUUCUGGUCAAUGGGUGGGACCAAUGGAACUGAUAACUUGGGGGAGGGGAUAUGCUUGUGUUUCUACAGGAACUUGAUUACGAUGGGUGCCGUCACGAUGUGUACGACCUUAUGUUACCUCAUUCUCGGAGCAGCAGGCAUGCCCGUCAGACCAGGCACCUGGGAGCAUGGCAACAUCUGGGUGACUCUUGCAAAUGUAACCGAUACGGACACUUUGUGUUUAUCAAUGGUGACGCCAUCAGACCCCUUCCGCACUUGCCUGGUUGGACUUCCUCUUGAUAUACAGCACAUGGGGUCUCUGUACAAUGAUACUGUGCUAUCACCCUGCAGCGCACUGGGUAAGCUUCAGCCCAUAUGGUGGUGCGAAGCAGGUGCGAAGCAGGAUGGAAGAGGUUCCACAUGGUAUAACAACAUGCRUGAUGCGGGCAAUUUUCCUGCCCUGCCGGUGCAACCACAAGAGCUUGACCUAUUAGGAACCACACAGGCUGCAGUAUGCUUUUAUCUAAACUACACUUCAGGAAUAUAUAUCCAUGAGACUGGCAUUGACGUAUCCCCCACGGGCAUCUAUGCCAAUGAAUCCAUGUGGUGUAGUUAUACCACUCGGAGUCAAUUAAUGCCCGGACCAGAACCCGGAGGGCUAGCUGCUAAUGUGUUUCUACUAUACUACCAAAGAGCCUGGAAAGGCAUACCAGGUAAAGCUGUGGGAGGCCCACGUACCUUUGGGCUUUUGACGAUGUUUCAUCCCGAAAAAUUCUUAGUUAAUGGAACCGUCCACACUCGAACAAAGCGGUCCACCCAUGGCUUUACAUCAAGUUGCGAUAGUAACGUAGAAUUUUGGAAUCCAGCAGAACGUAUCUUGAGUAGUAUUUUUGCAGGAAUAGGGACUGCGCAUGCUUUAUCACAACAGAUUAGGAUGCUGGCUUGCAAAAGAAGCAAAUGCUACUAG
Molecule: long non-coding RNA, 1008 nt
Filed under: Apteryx haastii (Great spotted kiwi)
Lineage: Eukaryota; Metazoa; Chordata; Aves; Apterygiformes; Apterygidae
Description: lncRNA (ENSAHAG00000013945.1)
Source: RNAcentral